Molecule: ribosomal RNA, 387 nt
Filed under: uncultured bacterium
Lineage: Bacteria
Description: bacterial SSU rRNA
Rfam family: Bacterial small subunit ribosomal RNA
Source: RNAcentral
AUUGAACGCUGGCGGCAUGCUUUACACAUGCAAGUCGAACGGUAACAGGGAGCUUGCUCCGCUGACGAGUGGCGAACGGGUGAGUAAUGCAUCGGAACGUACCCAGUCGUGGGGGAUAACGUAGCGAAAGUUACGCUAAUACCGCAUACGUCCUGAGGGAGAAAGCGGGGGACCGUAAGGCCUCGCGCGAUUGGAGCGGCCGAUGUCGGAUUAGCUAGUUGGUAGGGUAAAGGCCUACCAAGGCGACGAUCCGUAGCGGGUCUGAGAGGAUGAUCCGCCACACUGGGACUGAGACACGGCCCAGACUCCUACGGGAGGCAGCAGUGGGGAAUUUUGGACAAUGGGCGAAAGCCUGAUCCAGCCAUGCCGCGUGAGUGAAGAAGGCCU